RNAcentral lists this long non-coding RNA (3246 nucleotides) under Cinara cedri. The record is from RNAcentral. Lineage: Eukaryota; Metazoa; Arthropoda; Insecta; Hemiptera; Aphididae.
AAUGUCCGUCUUAAUUACUUUUUAUCCGAGACGUGAUUGAUCACAAAGGCAUGCAAAAUACAUAAACAAUAAUUGAACAUUGGCAAUAGAAUUUCAAAAAUCGUUUAAAAAACACAUUUUCAAGUGCUUGGUAGGCAACUUGUUUAACUAUAAGCAGUUCAAUUACAGGAGUUUAAUAGCCAAUAUUAUAUAAAAAAAAUAAAUUGGGAACCACUGGGCAUUCUUAUCAAAUAUUGCCAGCGGAACAUACGUGUUAUCAAUAUUAAAUUACUAACUAAAUUUUGAAUUUACCUGUAUUUAAUAUUACUUGUACUAUUAUAAAUUAAUAUUUAUACAACAUCCAUUUUUUUUCUCUUACAACUAGAACAUGAUUCACAUCGAAGAAGAAAUCGCUCUUCUAAAUUUUUUGAACCAUGAUUAUUUUCGACCGGUUGUUUACGAGAACAGCCCAAAUAAACAAUUCACUGAUGAAGAUGAAGAAAUACCAGAAAUAUCAGAAACUUACUGAGUGAUUACAGGCAUUCAACAUGGAUCAAAGGUUUAUGUUGAUUUAGAUAUUACAAGCACUAAGCCAUAACCAACCGCAUAGGUAUAGGUAGUUUGUGAGCAUCAAAUAAAUUGGGGUUUUAAGUUUUGUUUUUGUAGAUAAUCAGUGAAUGAAGAACUCAUUGACAACAGGAUUACCAUUAACGCUAGAUAUCAACACAACCAUGGACCUGCAAAUACAAAUGUAGAUGUACCUUUCUUAAAAGAAGCGAUUGGUGCAGAAGCCAUCAAUCCUGAAAAUAUGUCUGUCUUAGUUAGGACUGUACAGCAGCAAUGUAAUUGUUGAGUAUGUUAUUGAGUUAAUAUUUUAUUUUAAGUACUACCUAUUUUUAAAAAAUUUUUAGCUUAUAUAUUUGUACUCGCAGUUUGGUAACUUGAAAAAUUUAUAUGUUUAAGUAUGAUAAAAUUGUUUAGCCUUCUUAAAGUUACUUAAUAUCAAUAGGUACUGUUUCCUCUAAUUUUAUAAUAGAAAUUAUGUUUAUUUGGUAUAUUUGUUAUCUUAUUAUACCAAAAAUAUAUGCUUUCUGUUAUAAAUUAAAUUAGUUUCUAACUAUGAAAGUGUUCAUUAUUAAAAAAUAAUACUUCCAAACAUAGAAUUUUAUACUCAUUGUAUAGUAAAUUUUUCUUUUUAUAUGUAAUGGUAAAUUUUUCUUAUUACAUCACCUAGUGUAUAGAGAUGUUAACUAAUGUCACAUCAAAUAAAAAACAGAAUAAUUGAAAAUAAAUGAAACAGGCUUAGAACUUUUUAAAUUGUAUACAUAUAAACUUUAAAUUGUGAUUUAAUAUGCAUAAUGCAUAUUAGGAAUUUUUAUUUAGCUAUUAUAUUUAUAAUUGUAAUUUUUUUGAUUUAGACAGGUACCUAACACAUUUAUCCAUUCACCACUUCAAUUAGUAUUAUUAUUGCUAACAACUACACAUAUUUGCAAGCCCAGAGAAAAUGUAAGAGGAUAUGUAGGUCAUGUAAUCCAGAUGGCAGACACAUACUGAAACAUCCAUGAGCUCACUGAAGCAUUGACCCAACCAGAGAAUACUGCCUACAUUUACACACUUCAAACACCAUCAUCCACAUUUUUCCAACAAGAACUAAUUAUCAAUGAAACAAGUAAAGGAGUCAUUUUUGCAAACCUGGACGCAAUUUAAAUAUUCCAAGAAAGUUGUCCACAGUUACAACGGUUGGAAUUGAUGGAACUCUUAAGGCUGUUCCUGCAACUCCAACAGACUUGAAAAAAGUUUCCUGGCUUUUCAAGUAGUAUUUAAGUGUGUGUUAUUCCCAAUGGUUUAUGUUCGUCUCAGAAGUCGGACAGAGAAAACAUGUACAUUAUGUAACUAUUGUACAGCAAAUUUUACCUCUUCAUUAUAAUUGUAUUCCAUUAUUUGAAAUCUAUUAGUUGAAAAAUAAAUAAAAUUGAAAAAUGAAUUAUUUCAAGAAUUAAAAUUCAGUAAUACUUACUUAAAGAUAAAAAUGUUUUUUGUAAUUUUUGUAAUUACACGUAAUGAUUUGUCUAUAGGUAGUUUCAAUAGUUUUUGUUUGUAAAUAACUUUCUACAACACAAAUCAGAACAUUUUACACAGAUAACCUUUUUCUGAUGCUUAGAUCCACAUGUAAUCAAAUGUAGUAUUAAAUUUGUUUCAUAACUAAAAAAUUCGAUACACCUAGUACAUUUUAGCUGUUCCAUGUCAAUAGUCAAUAUUGUUUAAAUGAUCCUAACAUAGUUUUGUUAAGAUAUUUUAUUCACAAAAACAUUAUUCUAAUCUUAAAAUUUGAUUUCCAUUCUUUUGAAUCUUUCUUGAAAAAAGAAAAAUACAAAUUUCAAGUAAAAUUAACAGCCUGAGGCCCUAGGUUUGCUAAACCUAUAGUAUUAUAUGUCCCCCUAUGGAUUUAAAAUAUAAAAUAAAUUGUUCAGUAGGUACAUCUAAAUUAAAUUAAAAGAUUGUAAUAUUAUUUUUUUAAUUAUAAAUUAUAAUAACGAACACAGUAGAUGUUGAACCAAUUAUCCAGUUAAAAAUGUAAAAUUGAGUGAAUUGUUGAGGAAAACUGAAAAAAAUAAUGAAAUUUACUAUACUCAAGUGAAUAUACUAAAUAGGUAAAUGUUGUAUUUAAUUACAUUAUUAAUUAUUGAUUUAUUUAUUUUAAGAUCAAGAUAUAAUCAACUCAUCCAAUAUUGAAGAAGUAUGCGGGUACUGAAGAUUUAGUGAAGAAAUAAUGAAAAUAAAAGAACUCUAAAAAAUUAGUUUUAUUUUGAAAAAAAAAUGUUAAACUGAGAACCACUUGUCAAGAACAUAAUACUGAAAUAUUUCAAAAUUAUAAUCAUAAUUCUUGAAAACUAGCAGCCCUAAUCUAAUAAUAUUCAUGCUAUUCAUGUCUUUAAAAAUCAAAAUUGUAAAAUAAUAAUAAUAAUACAUGAAAAUAACAUUUUACAAAUUGUUUGGUUUAUGUGCGUGCAGUACCUAAUUGUUUUUAUAUAAUUAAUGUCUUCUAACCCAUAACUGCUCAAAAAUGGCUGUAACCUUAGUUGUAUUUUAUAUUAUUAUGAUAAAAACUGUGGUAGAACACAUAAUUUAUGUAAGAAUUCGCUUUUUAAAUUACAGCCACAACCUGAGAAAACAUUUUUCGUAUGAAACGGUUUUGUUAACGUGGGAAACAUGUUAAUAAAGAUUUUUAUUUAUAAUUGUAAUUGUAUUCUUAGUUUUGUUACAUUC